This 496-nucleotide ribosomal RNA is filed under the name uncultured bacterium. RNAcentral describes it as "partial 16S ribosomal RNA". It matches the Rfam family "Bacterial small subunit ribosomal RNA", at positions 28 to 506 of the family's 1533-position model. The record is from RNAcentral.
GAUGAACGCUGGCGGCGUGCCUAAUACAUGCAAGUCGAGCGAACAGACGAGGAGCUUGCUCCUCUGACGUUAGCGGCGGACGGGUGAGUAACACGUGGAUAACCUACCUAUAAGACUGGGAUAACUUCGGGAAACCGGAGCUAAUACCGGAUAAUAUAUUGAACCGCAUGGUUCAAUAGUGAAAGAUGGUUUUGCUGUCACUUAUAGAUGGAUCCGCGCCGCAUUAGCUAGUUGGUAAGGUAACGGCUUACCAAGGCGACGAUGCGUAGCCGACCUGAGAGGGUGAUCGGCAACACUGGAACUGAGACACGGUCCAGACUCCUACGGGAGGCAGCAGUAGGGAAUCUUCCGCAAUGGGCGAAAGCCUGACGGAGCAACGCCGCGUGAGUGAUGAAGGUCUUCGGAUCGUAAAACUCUGUUAUUAGGGAAGAACAAAUGUGUAAGUAACUAUGAACGUCUUGACGGUACCUAAUAAGAAAGCCACGGCUAACUACGU